UGGGGAAUUUUGCACAAUGGGGGAAACCCUGAUGCAGCGACGCCGCGUGAUUUAGAAGGCCUUCGGGUUGUAAAAAUCUUUUGUAUGGGAAGAAAAUGACAGUACCAUACGAAUAAGGACCGGCUAAUUACGUGCCAGCAGCCGCGGUAAUACGUAAGGUCCGAGCGUUGUCCGGAAUCAUUGGGCGUAAAGGGUACGUAGGCGGAUAAGCAAGUUAGAAGUGAAAUCCUAUAGCUCAACUAUAGUAAGCUUUUAAAACUGCUCAUCUUGAGGUACGGAAGGGAAAGUGGAAUUCCUAGUGUAGCGGUGAAAUGCGCAGAUAUUAGGAGGAAUACCGGUGGCGAAGGCGACUUUCUGGCCAUAUACUGACGCUGAGGUACGAAAGCGUGGGUAGCAAACAGG
Molecule: ribosomal RNA, 402 nt
Filed under: Verrucomicrobiota bacterium
Lineage: Bacteria; Pseudomonadati; Verrucomicrobiota
Description: Verrucomicrobia bacterium partial 16S ribosomal RNA
Rfam family: Bacterial small subunit ribosomal RNA
Source: RNAcentral